This 314-nucleotide long non-coding RNA is filed under the name Lathyrus oleraceus (garden pea). Its description in RNAcentral is "Pisum sativum (pea) long non-coding RNA (PSAT_LNC026651)". The record is from RNAcentral. Lineage: Eukaryota; Viridiplantae; Streptophyta; Magnoliopsida; Fabales; Fabaceae.
UUAAGAGGUCUUCAGGGUUGUAACGGGGCUUAGGUACGGUGGGAGAGUAGACAACAAAAUGGAUUACAAAAGGUUUUACAACUCGACAUUCAUGCUUUUGUUUUUCUUUGUGUAAAAUUUUUAUUUUUGGGGUGUCGUCAAAUCUUCACUCUUUUUCCACUCAACUUCAUUUUAAUGCACGAGUCUAUUUCUAAGGCAAGUGAUUAUUUUUUUUCAUUUCUUUUUCUUUUUUUUCGGUAGAAGCGGAUGUUUCUACACACUUUUUCUCUUUUUUUUUCUUUUCCUUGCACUUGCCAUUUUUCAACAACAUUUUC